RNAcentral lists this non-coding RNA (24 nucleotides) under Arabidopsis thaliana (thale cress). Lineage: Eukaryota; Viridiplantae; Streptophyta; Magnoliopsida; Brassicales; Brassicaceae. The record is from RNAcentral.
UAAAAGGUGACUUCAUCUUCAUCC